RNAcentral lists this long non-coding RNA (665 nucleotides) under Androctonus crassicauda. Lineage: Eukaryota; Metazoa; Arthropoda; Arachnida; Scorpiones; Buthidae. The record is from RNAcentral.
UGUUGUUGAAAUAAAUCAAUAUUCUUAUUCCUCUGAAUAUGUCAAGUUUAUAUUGAUAGAGGCCAUUUUGUAUAAAAAUGAUUAGCUGUAAAAGAGUUUUUAUUAAUUUUGAAUAAAAAAUUAUAUAAAUUCAUUAAAUUAUUCUUAAAAAUCUAUUUUCAUUAAUAUAUAUAAGGAUGGUGCAAAAGUCUGCAUACAUAGACUAGUUUAUUAGUUAACUUGCCAUAUCACAUUGGGAUAUUCUGUGAUUAGUGGCAGCCACUUUUAGAGCCCACAAAAGGCUGGCCAAUACUCAUAGUAGGCCAACAGAUCAUGACCUGAUCAUUUCUGAAAAAUUGAAGGUAUGAAACGCAGAUUUGAACUUGGAUCCUCUAAGAUGGUAAGUGAAUGCUUUACCAUAUGGCCAUCUCAUAGCUCCAUACAUGAGUUUACAUUGGAAACUAUAGACAUUUCCUCAGCUUAUCCAAACAAAAGAGGAAAAAUUAUUAUUAUCCUAUGUGUGGAGAUUUUGCACCAUCUUAUAUAUCCUAUGUGUAUAUAUAUAUUAUGAAUUUUUAAAUACUCUUCAAAAGUUAUCUGAUAAACAUAAAUACAGUUAUGUUUUAUAUUUUAGUUUGAAAAUUAUUUCAAUUUUCCAUGUAAGAAAGUAAUUGAAUGCUAGCUGU